UUGAAACCAAAGCCAGAAUGAUGGCUCUAUCUAUCUUCAAAUAGGUAUUUACACUGCAGACCUCACACAGAGCAAAGUGUUACCAUCCUGCUGGGCCAGAACAGCAUGAAACUUUAAAAAGAAUAACAUUAUACUUGAUUUCAGAUAAUUUAUUGAAUCCUACUUCUGAAACGUUUGAUGAGAGAUCUGUGACCAGAAUACAUUCCAAAAAUUGUAAAAGACAAAAUUCCUUAGGCACUAAAAUCAAGCUCUUCCUGGAUAGCAGCUGAGAGAGUAUACGAGGAUCAUUUUGUUUUCAGCUAUAAAAAAUGGAAGCAUGCAUAAUCUCCAUAAAACCAAAGAUAUUUUCUGUUAACAACAACACAGAAUGUGGGAAGUUACUGGAGGAAAUCAAAUGUGCACUUUGCUCUCCACAUUCUCAAAACCUGUUCCACUCACCUGAGAGAGAAGCCUUGGAAAGAGACCUAGUACUUCCUCUGCUCUGCAAAGACUAUUGCAAAGAAUUCUUUUACACUUGCCGAGGCCAUAUUCCAGGUUUCCUUCAAACAACUGCGGAUGAGUUUUGCUUUUACUAUGCAAGAAAA
This 584-nucleotide small RNA is filed under the name Pongo abelii (Sumatran orangutan). Its description in RNAcentral is "processed transcript". The record is from RNAcentral. Lineage: Eukaryota; Metazoa; Chordata; Mammalia; Primates; Hominidae.